UCGAGAAUAAUUCACAAUGGGGGCAACCCUGAUGGUGCAACGCCGCGUGGAGGAUAAGGUCUUCGGAUUGUAAACUCCUGUCAUCUCAGAGAUAGUAUGAGAAGAGGAAGGGACGGCUAACUUCGUGCCAGCAGCCGCGGUAAUACGAAGGUCCCAAGCGUUGUUCGGAAUCACUGGGCGUAAAGGGAGCGUAGGCGGUUAGGUAAGUCAGAUGUGAAAUCCCGGGGCUCAACCCCGGAACUGCAUCCGAUACUGCCUGACUUGAGCAAUGGAGAGGUAGCUGGAAUUCUCAGUGUAGCAGUGAAAUGCGUAGAUAUUGAGAGGAACACUCGUGGCGAAAGCGAGCUACUGGACAUUUGCUGACGCUGAGGCUCGAAGGCUAGGGUAGCGAAAGGGAUUAGAUACCCGGGU
Molecule: ribosomal RNA, 411 nt
Filed under: uncultured bacterium
Lineage: Bacteria
Description: bacterial SSU rRNA
Rfam family: Bacterial small subunit ribosomal RNA
Source: RNAcentral